CACGUAGGGGACGAGCGUUGUCCGGAUUCAUUGGGCGUAAAGCGCGCGUAGGCGGCUCGGAAAGUCGGUCGUGAAAUGCCGGGGCUCAACCCCGGGACUGCGUCCGAUACUUCCGGGCUGGAGGUAGGUAGGGGAGAUCGGAAUUCCUGGUGUAGCGGUGAAAUGCGCAGAUAUCAGGAGGAACACCGGUGGCGAAGGCGGAUCUCUGGGCCUUACCUGACGCUGAGGAACGAAAGCGUGGGGAGCAAACAGG
Molecule: ribosomal RNA, 253 nt
Filed under: uncultured bacterium
Lineage: Bacteria
Description: partial 16S ribosomal RNA
Rfam family: Bacterial small subunit ribosomal RNA
Source: RNAcentral